AUGUUUUAACCUUUUUUUUUUUUUGGUUAAAACUUUAUGACUCCAUAACUUUUAGGCCGUGAGGCCAAACUUGGCAUGUGAUACCUUUUCGGGAAGCCCAAAGACAGCCCUCCGACGAAAGAAGCAGGGACAAUGGAAUUCUUCCAUUGACUUUUUGUCGGACCCCAAAAUUUUGACCUUUAAGUACUUUUUCGGGCAUUUUCGUGAUUUGGGCUAUAUUACGGACCCAAAAUUACUUGUUCAAGCAUUGUUUUCGAAUUUUUUCAUGCAUCAAAGCUCGUUAAGACUAGAUGGGGUAUCCCUACAUAGCGGGUGGGACCNACGGCGAAUGGUUCAUCAAGUCUUCAAAAAAGGAUAUAUACGAUUGCAUUGCAUAUACUAACGGAUGAGAUCAUACCAGCACUAAUGCACCGGAUCCCAUCAGNACUCCGCAGUUAAGCG
Molecule: ribosomal RNA, 441 nt
Filed under: Arabidopsis thaliana (thale cress)
Lineage: Eukaryota; Viridiplantae; Streptophyta; Magnoliopsida; Brassicales; Brassicaceae
Source: RNAcentral